AAGAUUUUAAGUUAAUAAAACUAUAUACCUUCAAAGUAUAAAAUAAUUUUAAAUUAAAUCUUA
RNAcentral lists this transfer RNA (63 nucleotides) under Ixodes columnae. RNAcentral describes it as "tRNA-Trp". The record is from RNAcentral. Lineage: Eukaryota; Metazoa; Arthropoda; Arachnida; Ixodida; Ixodidae.